Molecule: long non-coding RNA, 1938 nt
Organism: Ahaetulla prasina
Lineage: Eukaryota; Metazoa; Chordata; Lepidosauria; Squamata; Colubridae
Exons: 3
Source: RefSeq, a predicted model, not a curated record
CGGCGAGGGCUCUGCUGCAAAGUUACAAAUUGCCCGAACCUCCCUCAACCUCGGAGAUUUAAAGCCCCACCAUAAGCUGCCUGGCCAGUCCCAUCUUCCAGAGCUCUAGUCAUGGGACUGGUUCAUUGUUUAUCCGGGAGCAGCUCCUUUACCCGGGUGCGCCGCGGACCACCAACAUUUUCUCACGGAUCACCCCUGUACCAGAAGAAGUAGGAGGUCCUAGAGACUGAACAGUCACAGUAGCUUAGGUUUUAGGAUUCCUUUAUUAAAAGAAAGGACAUUUCCAGUGUCCAGCAACAAAUCAACAAACUGGGAGCGAAAGCAAAGAAAUGAUACCACCACCAUCAUCAUCCCAAAUGCAGAGCUGCCGGUCCCAACUGCAGUCACUAAAUGAGGAUUACCUGUGCACAGGACAGGAAGCUACAUCCAGCAGAGCAAAGGGAAACAGAUUGGCUCCAGGCCAGCAAAUAAACAAGGCAAGACUAUUUUUCCUUAUUUAUUCAGCCUAUAUGCAGAAUAUGUAUUAAUCUUUCCUUAUUCAUUCUUUCCUCAUUUAGUCAACCUACAUGCAGAAUAUAGAAUCCAGGGGCGUAGAUUAGAAGUAGGUGAGUGUGGUUUUAAACCGGGAAGAAGAAAUGCCAAUAACCUGUGCUGUGCUGAUGACACUACUCUGAUAGCUGAAAAUGCAAAUAUUCUGUAAGUUCUAGGAAUGGAAGUCAGGGAGCGCAUUAAAAAUGAUUCGCUAUAAAAAAUACCAAACUAAUGAGAAAAGGUACAGCAAGCAGCUUUAGAAGUGACAAAAUAUUGAAGUGGUGGAUACCUCCUGCUUUUUAACUUUGAUAUCAACAGGGAACCAUACUAGUAGUCAAGAAAUACACUGCAGACUAGCACUUGUUAUGGCACAAUGAAGACCUGCUGUGAAAAGAUUCAGAUGCUGUGACGUGCAUACAUCUACAAAUAGUUUUCUUUGUGACAUUCUAUGUAAGUGAAAGUUGAAAGAAUGAAGAAGCAGGACAGGAUGAGUAUUGAUUCUUUCAAACUUUGGUUUUGGAGAAGACUCUGUUGUGACCCAGGCCCCAGCAGGUAGUAGGAAACUCAGUCAGUGUAAAAACAAACAAACUUUAUUCGAACAGCUGAGAAUUACUUCAUUAUCAGCGUAGUUCAACUAAAUGAAAGCAAAUUUCUCCCAACACAAAUUUCUCAGUCCUAUCACCAACCUUGGUCCAAUUAGGUAAACUGCCAAAGGCCUUUCUUGGCAAAAGUUCAGAAGACACCAAUACAAAAUAAAUGCAACAAGACGAAGCUAUCAGUGUUGUUUUCCGGCAACACCAUUGCUGGUCUUUUAAGCCUUAUGGGAGGGGCCAAGAGAUGAUUGGCUACUCCCGAGUCGUCCUCUUUGCUUGAGCUGCUCUUGUCUUCUGGCAGCUCUUCUCAUGCAUGCAUUAGGAACAGGCUCCCCCUGUUCCUCUGCCUCACUACUGUCAGUCUCUGGAGUCCACACCUCACUCCCCGAUGGCCCCGGCCCCACCUCAGCCUCCGACACAGAGCCCUCAUCUGUGCCUUCCCCAGCCUCCAGGACUGGCCCAUGCUCUUCCUUAGUCUCAUCGCUGUCCAACUUCGUUGCCAGCUCCGCAGGCUGCUGGCAGACCACAACAGACUCCUGGGAAUAACAUGGAAACAAAUGGACCAUAAAUCGUAUUGAUGUUCUCACUUGAAGCUACAUUUUUUUGCACUGUCUCUCAUACUGGGAAAGAUGGAAAGAAAGAAAGGAAAAAGACAAUCGGCAAGACGGAUGGACUUGAUUACAGCUGUGACAGGUCCACCAUUGGAAGACCUGAAAAGCCAGACUGGGGACAGAUCAUUGUAUGUAAGGUCUAUCGAUAUAGCCGGUAAAAGUUGACACUGAACAAUAAAACAUAAGCCAUCCGUGUAAGCCAA